RNAcentral lists this ribosomal RNA (84 nucleotides) under Oroxylum indicum (Indian trumpet tree). RNAcentral's name for it is "partial 5.8S ribosomal RNA". It matches the Rfam family "5.8S ribosomal RNA", at positions 73 to 154 of the family's 154-position model. From Rfam's summary of the family: 5.8S ribosomal RNA (5.8S rRNA) is a component of the large subunit of the eukaryotic ribosome. It is transcribed by RNA polymerase I as part of the 45S precursor that also contains 18S and 28S rRNA. The record is from RNAcentral. Lineage: Eukaryota; Viridiplantae; Streptophyta; Magnoliopsida; Lamiales; Bignoniaceae.
UGCAGAAUCCCGUGAACCAUCGAGUCUUUGAACGCAAGUUGCGCCCGAAGCCGUUAGGCCAAGGGCACGUCUGCCUGGGCGUCU